UACAGAGACCUCGAACGUUGUCCGGAUUUAUUGGGCGUAAAGAGCUCGUAGACGGUAUAUCGCGUCUUGUGUUAAAUCUCACGGCUUAACCGUGAGGCUGCACGAGAAACGGGUAUGCUAGAGGUAGGGAGAGGUAAGCGGAAUUCUCGGUGUAGUAGUAAAAUGCGUUAAUAUCGAGAGGAACACCAAAGGCGUAGGCAGCUUACUGGAACUAUCCUGACGUUAAAGAGCGAAAGCACGGGGAGCGAAGCGG
This 253-nucleotide ribosomal RNA is filed under the name uncultured bacterium. Its description in RNAcentral is "partial 16S ribosomal RNA". It matches the Rfam family "Bacterial small subunit ribosomal RNA", at positions 524 to 776 of the family's 1533-position model. The record is from RNAcentral.